This 1313-nucleotide ribosomal RNA is filed under the name bioreactor metagenome. RNAcentral describes it as "bacterial LSU rRNA". It matches the Rfam family "Bacterial large subunit ribosomal RNA", at positions 1285 to 2573 of the family's 2925-position model. The record is from RNAcentral.
CAAGUGAUUAUGCGGACAUGAGUAACGAAUAGCCGGGCGAGAAUCCCGGCCGCCGAAAUCCCAAGAUUUCCUGGGGAAGGUUCGUCCGCCCAGGGUUAGUCGGCCCCUAAGUCCAGGCCAUUCAGGCGUAGGCGAUGGGAAGCAGGUUCAAUAUUCCUGCACCGCCGAUGGGCGAUUAAGACGCGAAGGAGUACUCGGAAAGGUAGAUCAGCCGUCGAUUGGAAGUGACGGUUCAAGCCCGUAGGGGUGUGGCCAGGCAAAUCCGGCCGCGCAACCUGAAAGGCGACGAGACGUGGAGGCUUCGGCCGAAGCGGAUUGAUCGAUCCUCUGCCGACAAGAAAAGCUUCUAGCGAGUCCAUAGGCGACCGUAUCGGAAACCGACACAGGUGGGAAGGUAGAAUAUACCAAGGCGCGCGAGAGAAACCUCGUUAAGGAACUCGGCAAUCUAGCCCCGUAACUUCGGAAGAAGGGGUCCUCCCGACUGUCCGUGUAACAACAAAGCGGUUUGGAGGCGCAGUGAAAGGGCCCAGGCGACUGUUUAUCAAAAACACAGCACUAUGCCAACUCGCAAGAGGAUGUAUAUGGUGUGACACGUGACCAAUGCCGUAAGGUUAAGGCAAGGGGUUAGUCCACAAGGGCGAAGCUCUGAACCGAAGCCCCGGUGAAUGUCGGCCGUAACUAUAACGGUCCUAAGGUAGCGAAAUUCCUUGUCGGGUAAGUUCCGACCUGCACGAAUCGUGUAACGAUCUGGGCGCUGUCUCAACGUGGAUCUCGGUGAAGUUGUAACUCCGGUGAAAAUGCCGGAUACCCGCAGUAGGACGGAGAGACCCUGUGAACCUUUACUGUAAUCUGACAUUGUGUUUUGGUUGAUUAUAUGUAGCAUAGCUGGGAGGCUUUGAAGCGAUCUCGUCAGGGACCGUGGAGCCGUCAGUGAAAUACCAGUUUUAAUUAACCGGAAUUCUAACCGCGGACCGUGAAACCGGUUCCGGGACCGUGUCAGAGGGUCAGUUUGACUGGGGCGGUUUCCUCCAAAAGGAUAACGGAGGAGUUCUAAGGUCACCUCAGCACGGUCGGCAAUCGUGCGUAGAGCGUAUAGGUAGAAGGUGGCUUGACUGCGAGACCCACAAGUCGAGCAGGUGCGAAAGCAGGACUAAGUGAUCCGGCGGUUGCUAGUGGUAGCGCCGUCGCUCAACGGACAAAAGGUACUCCGGGGAUAACAGGCUGAUCGCCGCCAAGAGUCCAUAUCGACGCGGCGGUUUGGCACCUCGAUGUCGGCUCAUCACAUCCUGGGGCUGAAGAAGGUCCCAAGGGUU